Molecule: ribosomal RNA, 484 nt
Filed under: uncultured Bacteroidota bacterium
Lineage: Bacteria; Pseudomonadati; Bacteroidota
Description: uncultured Bacteroidetes bacterium partial 16S ribosomal RNA
Source: RNAcentral
CACGGAGUUAGCCGGUGCUUAUUCCUCUGGUACCUUCAAGCUCAGAUGAAUCCGAGUUUUUAUUCCCAAAGAAAAGCAGUUUACAACCCAGAGGGCCUUCAUCCUGCACGCGGGAUGGCUGGAUCAGGCUUGCGCCCAUUGUCCAAUAUUCCCUACUGCUGCCUCCCGUAGGAGUCGGGCCCGUGUCUCAGUGCCCGUGUGACUGAUCAUCCUCUCAGACCAGUUACUGAUCGUAGACUUGGUGGGCCGUUACCCGCAACUAUCUAAUCAGACGCACACCCAUCUUUUACCGCCGGAGCUUUAAUAUUCAUCUGAUGCCAGACAUAUAUAUUAUGGGGUAUUGCACUUCAUUUCUAAAGCAUAUCCCCCGAGUAAACGGCAGGUUGUGUACGUGUUACUCACCCGUACGCCACUCCCCUUGCGGGCGUUCGACUUGCAUGUAUUAGGCCUCCGCUAGCGUUCAUCCUGAGCCAGGAUCAAACUC